Long non-coding RNA from Drosophila montana, 868 nucleotides. RefSeq lists it as uncharacterized. The record is from RefSeq and is a predicted model, not a curated record. The transcript is spliced from 3 exons. Lineage: Eukaryota; Metazoa; Arthropoda; Insecta; Diptera; Drosophilidae.
ACUUCCUUUUAAUUGACAAAGCAUUUACAGAUACCAUACAUUCAAAUGGAAGCGAGUGAGUGAUUAGAAUAAGACUGAACACACAGGAAGAAUCGGUUCCCGCUUGGCCAUGGUGCAGCAACAUAUUCCACACAGACACGCUCCACAUUCAUAUGUAGGCAGCUAAGCUUGUCCGGAUUUAUUUAAGAUAGAUGUUUACAAAAUUCCAGUUAACAAAAUUUGUAGCUUAAAAUUAAUCACAAUACUUAGUUUGAUAGAUCAUGGGUAUUUCCCGAAAGCGACGACAGCAUUUAUUGUACGUAACAUGCCAUAAGCCAGCUGUUUUGAUAUAGUGCUGUAAGGGAGAGGAGGUGGCGUAGUAAUGGCAAGAGUGCAGGGCAACUUAGAUGAAAAAACUACUGCUUGAGACAAAGGGCAGGACUAAAAAACACCUUGAAUACCCUGCUGCUGCAAUGCCAGAGACUGACGUGCGAUGGAUUUUUAAUGUAUAGAGUAAGUUUAUUUAUGGGUAAUGUUGUGUGACUGUGCAACUGGAUUAAUGGCAAAGACAUCAACUGAAUGAUGAAAAAGUUUAUUAGGAGUCGAUGGAGUGGAUGGUUGUAACAUGAACAAGUUUCCGACAGCAUAGCUAGAACAUACACGGUUGCGGUCUUGGCAUUGUCUCUAUUCUAGUAUGCAGAGCGGAAAGCAUGCGCAUAUCGAAUAAUUAUAAUGCUCCAGAAAGUUUAUGGAGAUUGGCUAAUUCGGAAAUUAAAGACUAUGGGAGUUGUUCAACUGUACGAGAAAUUGUGAUAUGAACAGCUGCCGUCAGGAUAGCUGGAACAUACACGGUUGCGGUCUUGGCAUUGUCUCUAUUCCAGUAUGCAGA